This 1304-nucleotide ribosomal RNA is filed under the name Apilactobacillus kunkeei. RNAcentral describes it as "bacterial SSU rRNA". It matches the Rfam family "Bacterial small subunit ribosomal RNA", at positions 61 to 1325 of the family's 1533-position model. The record is from RNAcentral. Lineage: Bacteria; Bacillati; Bacillota; Bacilli; Lactobacillales; Lactobacillaceae.
GUCGACGAGCUCUCCCAAAUUGAUUUUAUGCUUGCAUAAAUGAUUUUUGGAUUCGGAGCGAGUGGCGAACUGGUGAGUAACACGUGGGUAACCUGCCCCGAAGCGGGGGAUAACAUUUGGAAACAAGUGCUAAUACCGCAUAAUUAGUUGGAACCGCAUGGUUCCAACUUGAAAGAUGGCUCUGCUAUCACUUUGGGAUGGACCCGCGCCGUAUUAGUUAGUUGGUGAGAUAAAAGCCCACCAAGACGAUGAUACGUAGCCGACCUGAGAGGGUAAUCGGCCACAUUGGGACUGAGACACGGCCCAGACUCCUACGGGAGGCAGCAGUAGGGAAUCUUCCACAAUGGACGAAAGUCUGAUGGAGCAACGCCGCGUGAGUGAUGAAGGUUUUCGGAUCGUAAAACUCUGUUGUUAAAGAAGAACAAGUGUUAGAGUAACUGUUAACACUUUGACGGUAUUUAACCAGAAAGCCACGGCUAACUACGUGCCAGCAGCCGCGGUAAUACGUAGGUGGCAAGCGUUGUCCGGAUUUAUUGGGCGUAAAGCGAGCGCAGGCGGUUUUGUAAGUCUGCUGUGAAAGCCCUCAGCUCAACUGAGGAAGUGCAGUGGAAACUACAAAACUUGAGUACAGAAGAGGAAAGUGGAACUCCAUGUGUAGCGGUGAAAUGCGUAGAUAUAUGGAAGAACACCAGUGGCGAAGGCGGCUUUCUGGUCUGUUACUGACGCUGAGGCUCGAAAGCAUGGGUAGCGAACAGGAUUAGAUACCCUGGUAGUCCAUGCCGUAAACGAUGAAUACUAGGUGUUGGAGGGUUUCCGCCCUUCAGUGCCGCAGCUAACGCAUUAAGUAUUCCGCCUGGGGAGUACGACCGCAAGGUUGAAACUCAAAGGAAUUGACGGGGGCCCGCACAAGUGGUGGAGCAUGUGGUUUAAUUCGAUGCUACGCGAAGAACCUUACCAGCUCUUGACAUCUUCUGCCAACCCAAGAGAUUGGGCGUUCCCUUCGGGGACAGAAUGACAGGUGGUGCAUGGUUGUCGUCAGCUCGUGUCGUGAGAUGUUGGGUUAAGUCCCGCAACGAGCGCAACCCUUAUUAUUAGUUGCCAGCAUUUAGUUGGGCACUCUAGUGAGACUGCCGGUGAUAAACCGGAGGAAGGUGGGGACGACGUCAAAUCAUCAUGCCCCUUAUGAGCUGGGCUACACACGUGCUACAAUGGAUGGUACAACGAGUCGCGAAACCGCGAGGUCAAGCUAAUCUCUUAAAGCCGUUCUCAGUUCGGAUUGCAGGCUGCAACUCGCCUGCAUGAAG